Molecule: long non-coding RNA, 755 nt
Organism: Sabethes cyaneus
Lineage: Eukaryota; Metazoa; Arthropoda; Insecta; Diptera; Culicidae
Exons: 4
Source: RefSeq, a predicted model, not a curated record
UUCGUAUUGUGGCUUUUGCAAAGUAACGGGAAAUCUGAGCAAUCUCUGACAACUUGAAUAAUUAUAAUAUCCAGUAUACAAUACUAGAACUGUCAAUGGUGGAUAGGUCAAUGAUAACGUUAGCUGUAGUAGUUCUGAUCAGUUGAAUGGUCCGAAUUGACAAAUCAACUGUAGGAAAAACAAAAUUGGGCCACUGCAAAUUAUUUUCAAAGUUUUUGUCCCCACGCCCUUCAAAGUUGGCUCUAAAAAUCGGAGGCGAAAAAAUUUGUUAAACCUGAGUAAAAAUGUUUUGUACAAAAUCAAUUAUCUGUGGGUUUAACAGCCUAAAGAACUCGAAAAAAGAGUGUACGGAGUGUUAAAUCUUCUUGCAAGAAACAAAAGUGGAGGUUUCUUUAUGGAAAAUAAUAACGUAUAAAUGAAAAGCGAGAAUUGCUUCGGGUUUCACGAUUAAACUUCAAGACCCGCAUUCGGACGUGGCCGGCGUCGGUAUUGAUCAGCAUGCAGGGACCUGAUAAGGUUGCAUAACGAGGAAUAGCGUGCUGUCCCAAGAAUGCUUUUUUCAGCCAUCAUUUUGCAAUUUUCAUCGGUCCUGGUCAACAACGGAGUAGCAGCACACGGGCGGUAUUCUAUGCUUAUGCUUAUGCUUAUUUUGAACAACAAUCAUCUCAUAAAAGUUUUGCUACCACAAGAAACAUAUUUUAAGCAUUUAUAUACAGUGUGAAACAUAUUUAUUCGAACAAAAACAAAAUCAUGUA